Long non-coding RNA from Rana temporaria (common frog), 975 nucleotides. RefSeq lists it as uncharacterized. NCBI's taxonomy places the organism in Eukaryota, Metazoa, Chordata, Amphibia, Anura, Ranidae. The record is from RefSeq and is a predicted model, not a curated record. The transcript is spliced from 2 exons.
UUUAGAAGGAGAAGAAUGUAAGACCCUCCCAGAUAACUCAGGAUGGAUGUGCGCAACUGGCAAUAAGAUAAAGACCACAAGAAUUCACCCGAGAUCCUAAUCUUUUUGGCGGUUGUCAUAUGAACCCGAAGAGGCCAUAUGAAAACUUUAUUUAAAAACAAUAAAAAGCUUAUUAAGGAUUUACAAGCCAAAUGGAUAUUUUACUUGCACUUUUGACUUUAUACGGACAAACUAUUUGGGGUUUCACUAUGUGAAAUAGAUUUCACCUUGGAGAGCAACAACAAAAAAAAAAUCUAUACUUGACUUUGCCAACAACUUGGGCUGGAAACGUUCAACCAUUUUGUGUUGAAACAUCAAAAUUUGGCCGACUGGAUUACAGUUUUAUAUAAUAUACAACAUGUAAAUAUAUAUAAAUAUAUAUCUAACUGGAAAUUCAACUAAAAAAGUAAAACUACUGUUUCCUUCGUCUUUCUUGGACCAAUAUCAUAUUUCUAUCGCUAAGGAAAACUGCCUGGAUAAGGGUCAUAUUUUCCAUCAAGCCCUGAGAAUCUUCAGCAUAUAUAGAAUCAAAAUCUUCCUUCGAUUCUUGAAGAACCUAAUGGUGAAAUACAUUAUUUUUUCUAAUGUGUACCAAGAGCUUUUUACCCAUGUGUGAUUAUAGCAUGCUGGCUUUGAUUAUGUAAAAUUUUUCUUAAAAAAAAAAAAAAAGUUGGCUUCCGCCUCUUUCUUUAAUUAUUUUUUACAAGAAGGUCAGCAGAAAUGGAUAUUAUCUCAAACAGGACCCAACGUCUUUCACAGUCGAAGGCAUGGGUUAACAUUAUAUUUGUAUUAUUACUGGUGUAUAUAGAAAGCCAACGGGAUUUGUAUAACCGGUGCUGUCUGCGGUCAACCCUAUUGGAUUCCAAUGUUUUGCACUUGCUUUUUCCUUCCAACGUAGACGUCUCAAUAAAUAUUAUUUUGCUUCAUUUUUUUUAA